UUUUUGCACAAGGGAUAGCAGUGAAAAUCCUUUUUAUGCGCAGGAACGGAGCAUAAAAAGAUUGUAACGAAUAGCCCGACCACGC
Small RNA from Flavobacterium micromati, 85 nucleotides. It matches the Rfam family "Flavo-1 RNA". NCBI's taxonomy places the organism in Bacteria, Pseudomonadati, Bacteroidota, Flavobacteriia, Flavobacteriales, Flavobacteriaceae. The record is from Rfam.